CAAGUCGAGUGCGCGCCCGUAGCAAUACGGGUGGCGCACGGCGCACGGGUGCGUAACACGUGGGUAACCUGCCCUUUGAUGGGGAAUAACCCCGCGAAAGCGGGGCUAAUUCCGCAUAAGAUCCGCAAGGAUGAAAGCCGUAAGGCGUCGAAGGAGGGGCCUGCGCACGAUUAGCUAGUUGGUAGGGUAACGGCCUACCAAGGCUUUGAUCGUUAGCUGGUCUGAGAGGAUGGCCAGCCACACUGGAACUGAGACACGGUCCAGACUCCUACGGGAGGCAGCAGUGGGGAAUCUUGCACAAUGGGCGAAAGCCUGAUGCAGCGACGCCGCGUGGGGGAUGAAGCUUCUCGGAGUGUAAACCCCUUUCGACCCGGACGAAUACCUCGCAAGAGGGGUGACGGUACGGGUAUAAGAAGCCCCGGCUAACUACGUGCCAGCACCCGCGGUAAGACGUGGGGGGCCAGCGUUGCUCGGAAUUACUGGGUGUAAAGGGUCAGUAGGCGGUGUGGCAAGUCGGGAGUGAAAUCUCUGGGCUUAACUCAGAGACUGCUUCCGAAACUGCUGUGCUUGAGUAUGGGAGAGGCGCGUGGAAUUGCAGGUGUAGCGGUGAAAUGCGUAGAUAUCUGCAGGAACACCCGUGGCGAAAGCGGCGCGCUGGACCAUAACUGACGCUGAAUGACGAAAGCUAGGGGAGCAAACAGGAUUAGAUACCCUGGUAGUCCUAGCCCUAAACGAUCAGGACUUGGGGUGCCACCCGUUCGGGUGUCGUCCCGGAGCUAACGCGUUAAGUCCUGCACCUGGGGAGUACGGUCGCAAGACUGAAACUCAAAGGAAUUGACGGGGGCCCGCACAAGCGGUGGAAC
RNAcentral lists this ribosomal RNA (863 nucleotides) under uncultured Acidobacteriota bacterium. RNAcentral describes it as "bacterial SSU rRNA". It matches the Rfam family "Bacterial small subunit ribosomal RNA", at positions 58 to 938 of the family's 1533-position model. The record is from RNAcentral. Lineage: Bacteria; Pseudomonadati; Acidobacteriota.